GACGAACGCUGGCGGCGUGCUUAACACAUGCAAGUCGAACGGUAAGGCCCUUCGGGGUACACGAGUGGCGAACGGGUGAGUAACACGUGGGUGAUCUGCCCUGCACUUCGGGAUAAGCCUGGGAAACUGGGUCUAAUACCGGAUAGGACUCCGGACUGCAUGGUCUGGGGUGGAAAGCUUUUGCGGUUUGGGAUGGGCCCGCGGCCGAUCAGCUUGUUGGUGGGGUGAUGGCCUACCAAGGCGACGACGGGUAGCCGGCCUGAGAGGGUGACCGGCCACACUGGGACUGAGAUACGGCCCAGACUCCUACGGGAGGCAGCAGUGGGGAAUAUUGCACAAUGGGCGCAAGCCUGAUGCAGCGACGCCGCGUGAGGGAUGACGGCCUUCGGGUUGUAAACCUCUUUCAGCAUCGACGAAGCGAAAGUGACGGUAGGUGCAGAAGAAGGACCGGCCAACUACGUGCCAGCAGCCGCCGUAA
Molecule: ribosomal RNA, 478 nt
Filed under: uncultured bacterium
Lineage: Bacteria
Description: partial 16S ribosomal RNA
Rfam family: Bacterial small subunit ribosomal RNA
Source: RNAcentral